UAAGGAAUAUUGGACAAUGGACGCAAGUCUGAUCCAGCCAUGCCGCGUGAAGGAUGACUGCCCUCUGGGUUGUAAACUUCUUUUAUAGGGGAAGAAAGUUAUUUUUUAGGAUAUUUGACGGUACCCUAUGAAUAAGCACCGGCUAACUCCGUGCCAGCAGCCGCGGUAAUACGGAGGGUGCAAGCGUUAUCCGGAUUCACUGGGUUUAAAGGGUGCGUAGGCGGGUAUGUAAGUCAGUGGUGAAAUACCGGAGCUUAACUUCGGAACUGCCAUUGAUACUAUAUAUCUUGAAUAUUGUGGAGGUAAGCGGAAUAUGUCAUGUAGCGGUGAAAUGCUUAGAGAUGACAUAGAACACCGAUUGCGAAGGCAGCUUGCUACGCAAAUAUUGACGCUGAGGCACGAAAGCGUGGGGAUCAAACAGGAUUAGAUACCCUGGUAGUCCACGCCCUAAAACGAUGAUUACUCGACAUUAGCGAUACACAGUUAGUGUCUGAGCGAAAAGCAUUAAGUAAUCCACCUGGGAAGUACGACCGCAAGGUUGAAAACUUAAAUGAAUUGACGGGGUCAUAGCUGUUUCCU
RNAcentral lists this ribosomal RNA (579 nucleotides) under uncultured bacterium. RNAcentral describes it as "partial 16S ribosomal RNA". It matches the Rfam family "Bacterial small subunit ribosomal RNA", at positions 355 to 1375 of the family's 1533-position model. The record is from RNAcentral.